UACGAAGGGGGCUAGCGUUGUUCGGAUUUACUGGGCGUAAAGCGCACGUAGGCGGUUUGUUAAGUCAGGGGUGAAAUCCCAGAGCUCAACUCCAGAACUGCCUUUGAUACUGGCGAUCUCGAGUCCGGGAGAGGUGAGUGGAACUCCGAGUGUAGAGGUGAAAUUCGUAGAUAUUCGGAAGAACACCAGUGGCGAAGGCGGCUCACUGGCCCGGUACUGACGCUGAGGUGCGAAAGCGUGGGGAGCAAACAGG
Molecule: ribosomal RNA, 253 nt
Filed under: uncultured bacterium
Lineage: Bacteria
Description: partial 16S ribosomal RNA
Rfam family: Bacterial small subunit ribosomal RNA
Source: RNAcentral